Molecule: ribosomal RNA, 492 nt
Filed under: uncultured bacterium
Lineage: Bacteria
Description: partial 16S ribosomal RNA
Rfam family: Bacterial small subunit ribosomal RNA
Source: RNAcentral
AGUGAACGCUGGCGGCAGGCCUAACACAUGCAAGUCGAACGGAAGCACAGUAAGAGCUUGCCCUUACGGGUGGCGAGUGGCGGACGGGUGAGGAAUACAUCGGAAUCUACUUUUUCGUGGGGGAUAACGUAGGGAAACUUACGCUACUACCGCAUACGACCUACGGGUGAAAGCAGGGGAUCUUCGGACCUUGCGUGAUUGAAUGAGCCGAUGGCGGAUUAGCUAGUUGGCGGGGUAAAGGCCCACCAAGGCGACGAUGCGUAGCUGGUCUGAGAGGAUGAUCAGCCACACUGGAACUGAGACACGGUCCAGACUCCUACGGGAGGCAGCAGUGGGGAAUAUUGGGCAAUGGGCGCAAGCCUGAUCCAGCCAUACCGCGUGAGUGAAGAAGGCCUUCGGGUUGUAAAGCCCUUUUGUUGGGGAAGAAAAGCAGCAUGUUAAUACCCCGCUGUUCUGACGGUACCCAAAGAAUAAGCACCGGCUAACUUCGUG